Molecule: transfer RNA, 88 nt
Filed under: Bacteroidota bacterium
Lineage: Bacteria; Pseudomonadati; Bacteroidota
Also listed under: 1 other name
Description: tRNA-Ser
Rfam family: tRNA
About the family: Transfer RNA (tRNA) molecules are approximately 80 nucleotides in length. Their secondary structure includes four short double-helical elements and three loops (D, anti-codon, and T loops). Further hydrogen bonds mediate the characteristic L-shaped molecular structure. tRNAs have two regions of fundamental functional importance: the anti-codon, which is responsible for specific mRNA codon recognition, and the 3' end, to which the tRNAs corresponding amino acid is attached (by aminoacyl-tRNA synthetases). tRNAs cope with the degeneracy of the genetic code in two manners: having more than one tRNA (with a specific anti-codon) for a particular amino acid; and 'wobble' base-pairing, i.e. permitting non-standard base-pairing at the 3rd anti-codon position.
Source: RNAcentral
GGAGGAGUGGCAGAGCUGGUUGAAUGCACCGGUCUUGAAAACCGGCGUGCGAGAAAUCGUACCGGGGGUUCGAAUCCCUCCUCCUCCG